GAACGCAAGUUGCGCCCGAAGCCAUUAGGCCGAGGGCACGUCUGCAUGGGCGUCACGC
This 58-nucleotide ribosomal RNA is filed under the name Cyananthus incanus. RNAcentral's name for it is "partial 5.8S ribosomal RNA". Lineage: Eukaryota; Viridiplantae; Streptophyta; Magnoliopsida; Asterales; Campanulaceae. The record is from RNAcentral.